RNAcentral lists this ribosomal RNA (439 nucleotides) under uncultured bacterium. Its description in RNAcentral is "partial 16S ribosomal RNA". It matches the Rfam family "Bacterial small subunit ribosomal RNA", at positions 339 to 795 of the family's 1533-position model. The record is from RNAcentral.
CUACGGGUGGCUGCAGUGAGGAAUAUUGCACAAUGGGGGGAACCCUGAUGCAGCAACGCCGCGUGGAGGAUGACGCAUUUCGGUGUGUAAACUCCUUUUAUAUGUCAAGAAAAUGACGGUAGCAUAUGAAUAAGCACCGGCUAACUCCGUGCCAGCAGCCGCGGUAAUACGGAGGGUGCAAGCGUUACUCGGAAUCACUGGGCGUAAAGGACGCGUAGGCGGGUUGGAAAGUCAGGUGUGAAAUCCUACAGCUUAACUGUAGAACUGCACUUGAAACUUCUAAUCUAGAGUAUGGGAGGGGGAGAUGGAAUUAGUGGUGUAGGGGUAAAAUCCGUAGAUAUCACUAGGAAUACCUAAAGCGAAGGCGAUCUCCUGGAACAUUACGGACGCUAAGGCGUGAAAGCGUGGGGAGCAAAUAGGAUUAGAUACCCGGGUAGUC